AUAUCAAUAAGCGGAGGAAAAGAAACUAACAAGGAUUCCCCUAGUAACUGCGAGUGAAGCGGGAAAAGCUCAAAUUUAAAAUCUGUCAGUCUUUGGCUGUCCGAGUUGUAAUCUAGAGAAGCGUUAUCCGCGCUGGACCGUGUACAAGUCUCCUGGAAUGGAGCGUCAUAGAGGGUGAGAAUCCCGUCUUUGACACGGACUGCCAGGGCUUUGUGAUGCGCUCUCAAAGAGUCGAGUUGUUUGGGAAUGCAGCUCAAAAUGGGUGGUAAAUUCCAUCUAAAGCUAAAUAUUGGCGAGAGACCGAUAGCGAACAAGUACCGUGAGGGAAAGAUGAAAAGAACUUUGGAAAGAGAGUUAAACAGUACGUGAAAUUGCUGAAAGGGAAACGCUUGAAGUCAGUCGCGUUGUCCAGGGAUCAACCUUGCUUUUGCUUGGUGUACUUUCUGGUUGACGGGUCAGCAUCAAUUUUGACUAUUGGAAAAAGAUUAGGGGAAUGUAGCAUCUUCGGAUGUGUUAUAGCCCUUGGUUGCAUACAAUGGUUGGGAUUGAGGAACUCAGCACGCCGCAAGGCCGGGUUUUAACCACGUCCGUGCUUAGGAUGCUGGCAUAAUGGCUUUAAUCGACCCGUCUUGAAACACGGACCAAGGAGUCUAACAUGCCUGCGAGUGUUUGGGUGGAAAACCCGAGCGCGUAAUGAAAGUGAAAGUUGAGAUCCCUGUCAUGGGGAGCAUCGACGCCCGGACCAGACCUUUUGUGACGGUUCCGCGGUAGAGCAUGUAUGUUGGGACCCGAAAGAUGGUGAACUAUGCCUGAAUAGGGUGAAGCCAGAGGAAACUCUGGUGGAGGCUCGUAGCGAUUCUGACGUGCAAAUCGAUCGUCAAAUUUGGGUAUAGGGGCGAAAGACUAAUCGAACCAUCUAGUAGCUGGUUCCUG
This 933-nucleotide ribosomal RNA is filed under the name Cortinarius minorisporus. RNAcentral's name for it is "eukaryotic LSU rRNA". It matches the Rfam family "Eukaryotic large subunit ribosomal RNA", at positions 40 to 960 of the family's 3401-position model. Lineage: Eukaryota; Fungi; Basidiomycota; Agaricomycetes; Agaricales; Cortinariaceae. The record is from RNAcentral.